AUGAUGAACAAUAUUUUAGAAACCUUGAAUUUUGUUGAAGUCACAGAGGAAGUUGAUGAAGCUAGCCUGAGCUACACGAUGCUCCUUGUGCAAAAUAAAUGCACACCAGAGAAGCAACUCCUUGUAGAGAUGAGGAAGAAGAGCACAAGCUUGCUUAAGAUGGAAGAGAAUUGGUGGAAGAAUCCAAGGUUGAAGAUGAGAGAAAAGAGUUAA
Non-coding RNA from Vicia faba (fava bean), 213 nucleotides. NCBI's taxonomy places the organism in Eukaryota, Viridiplantae, Streptophyta, Magnoliopsida, Fabales, Fabaceae. The record is from the annotation of a GenBank genome assembly.